UUGAGUGAGGAAGAGAAAGAUGAGAAGAAAGAAAAGGCAGUGGUUGAGAAAAAAGAAAAAAAAAUAAGAAAAUAAGAAAAAAGAAAAAAAAGAAGGAGAAGGUUGAGAAAAAGAGGAAGAAAGGAAAGAAGAAAAGAUCACAUGAAAAAUCAUAGGAAGGGAAAUAAGUUCAAGUUGGCGAUCUUCAAGAUAUUGGAGAUUAAAGUUCCUAUGGUUGAAACAUGAAAACAGGUGCUUGGUGUUCUUACUUUUAUAAAGAAAUUCAGCAGGAAGAAGAAAAAGAAAAGAAUAUCAAGAAAGGGGAGUAUCAACACCUACUGAUGGGUGUUUGAACUCUACUAGGUCAAGCUAGUGACAUAAAAAGAGCGCUUGCUGGGAG
Molecule: long non-coding RNA, 379 nt
Filed under: Vigna radiata
Lineage: Eukaryota; Viridiplantae; Streptophyta; Magnoliopsida; Fabales; Fabaceae
Description: long non-coding RNA (VRAD_LNC003650)
Source: RNAcentral